GCCUCUAUGGCACAGGGGUAAUGCGUGUCACUCGUAUAGUAAUUAAACUUGCGGUGUUAUGACAAGAUCCGCGGUUCGAUUCCGCGUGGAGGCA
RNAcentral lists this transfer RNA (94 nucleotides) under Xylaria sp. FL1777. RNAcentral describes it as "tRNA-Thr". It matches the Rfam family "tRNA". From Rfam's summary of the family: Transfer RNA (tRNA) molecules are approximately 80 nucleotides in length. Lineage: Eukaryota; Fungi; Ascomycota; Sordariomycetes; Xylariales; Xylariaceae. The record is from RNAcentral.